This 161-nucleotide non-coding RNA is filed under the name uncultured Enterocloster sp. RNAcentral's name for it is "Lysine riboswitch". It matches the Rfam family "Lysine riboswitch aptamer". From Rfam's summary of the family: Riboswitches are metabolite binding domains within certain messenger RNAs that serve as precision sensors for their corresponding targets. The record is from RNAcentral. Lineage: Bacteria; Bacillati; Bacillota; Clostridia; Lachnospirales; Lachnospiraceae.
GCAAUAGAGGUGCGGAUACUAUCAGUACCUGUUUGGAGGCAGCGAAGCCAGGGAAGAGCAGGGAAAGGAGGAGCCGCCGAAAUGUACUGCUUUCGCAGGCAGUAUGUUGGGGUGCAGUCGAACAGGCUGCACACUCUCACCAAACGGUGGAGGCGCUAUUG